RNAcentral lists this unclassified non-coding RNA (336 nucleotides) under soil metagenome. RNAcentral's name for it is "partial contains 5.8S ribosomal RNA, internal transcribed spacer 2, and large subunit ribosomal RNA". The stretch from base 1 to 120 matches the Rfam family "5.8S ribosomal RNA", at positions 35 to 154 of the family's 154-position model. The record is from RNAcentral.
GAUGAAGAACGCAGUGAAAUGCGAUAAGUAGUGUGAAUUGCAGAAUUCAGUGAAUCAUCGAAUCUUUGAACGCACAUUGCGCCCCUUGGUAUUCCAUGGGGCAUGUCUGUUCGAGCGUCAUUUGUACCUUCAAGCUCUGCUUGGUGUUGGGUGUUUGUCUCGCCUCUGCGCGCAGACUCGCCUCAAAACAAUUGGCAGCCGGCGUAUUGAUUUCGGAGCGCAGUACAUCUCGCGCUUUGCACUCAUAACGACGACGUCCAAAAGUACAUUUUUACACUCUUGACCUCGGAUCAGGUAGGGAUACCCGCUGAACUUAAGCAUAUCAAAAGCGGAGGA